RNAcentral lists this ribosomal RNA (204 nucleotides) under uncultured bacterium. Its description in RNAcentral is "partial 16S ribosomal RNA". It matches the Rfam family "Bacterial small subunit ribosomal RNA", at positions 524 to 727 of the family's 1533-position model. The record is from RNAcentral.
CACGUAGGGCGCAAGCGUUGUCCGGAAUUAUUGGGCGUAAAGAGCUCGUAGGCGGUCUGUUGCGUCCGCUGUGAAAACUCGGGGCUUAACCCCGAGCCUGCAGUGGAUACGGGCAGACUAGAGGUAGGUAGGGGAGAAUGGAAUUCCCGGUGUAGCGGUGAAAUGCGCAGAUAUCGGGAGGAACACCGGUGGCGAAGGCGGUCU